Molecule: non-coding RNA, 60 nt
Filed under: unclassified sequences
Description: Li+-I sequence
Rfam family: nhaA-I RNA
About the family: Acidobacteria, Alphaproteobacteria, Betaproteobacteria and Gammaproteobacteria, Verrucomicrobia, cand. division NC10. Downstream gene
Source: Rfam by way of RNAcentral
GGGUGUCUAAAUCUAUUUGACUCGAUUUAGACAGGUAUUAGUGUCGGUCGGGCCGCCGCA